GAAAAGAAUGCCUUGUUUUAUUACAGCUCUUAAAAUACUUUCACGCGCAAGUUGACCAUAUUUGGGGACAACAGUUCCAGGCACAGCAGACGCUCACUGGGAUGCCAGGGUGUCUGCUGUCAGCCCCUUGCCAGCUCUCUCCCCCUGAGCAGCCACUAGGCAAUUGCAACCUCAUUCUUUCCAGAAAUGGCUUGGGGACCACUUAGCAAAUGUGAACACAUCUGUAAAGUAUGUUCAUCCACCUCUCUCUCUCUCUCUCUCUCUCUAACCAUGUGAGAGUGAGAAGAAAGAGUGUUCUUUUCCAGCUAUUAGAGUUGAAGUUUCAGAGAAGGUGUGGACACUCAGUGGCUAGCUAUAGUGAAUGCACAGCUUUUGAGGCUGGAGCAUCAAUUGGGAUAGACAAGUCCAUGCCUCUUUCUGUCAACUCAAAGACUAAAGCAAAUGGCCUUUCAGAAAUAAAGGAGCCCCAUCAGAUGUGGGACUGUGCUGCACCACCUCCAGGCCCUCAGCCUCUGGGAGUCUCUGUUUCUCUUCUGGAAAAUUGGCUGACACUUCUGGUUCCCCUUCUGCUGGCCUUGAGUGACAGAACGAGCCCACAUGUGUGAAAGUGCUUGAGAGCCGACCGGGGAGAUCAUUACUUUGAAGGCCACUGCCAUGUGCAGCCUUCCUCAACGUCCCAACGUGUAGGGCCUGGUCCUUGUCCCUCGCACGAGGUCCUCAGCCACCUCACCUCUGGGACCACGAUCCUAGGGGCCUGUGUGUGCACCCACAUGCAUUUCAGGAAAGGAGGAAAGUAUCUUCACAAUAAGGCAAAAGCUGAUCAAAUUCAUUUAAUCUUUGUUAAAAGCAUCACAAAUGAUUCAUCGAUUUUUAAAAAGGAAAAAUAAGAAGGAAUGCAUUGUCUCUUUGUUAUGUGCAUGGCAGCUGAUGGCCUCGUUCCCAGGCGCCCAGGUCUACCU
Molecule: long non-coding RNA, 959 nt
Filed under: Homo sapiens (human)
Lineage: Eukaryota; Metazoa; Chordata; Mammalia; Primates; Hominidae
Description: HSALNT0068735
Source: RNAcentral